UACAGAGGUCUCAAGCGUUGUUCGGAUUCAUUGGGCGUAAAGGGUGCGUAGGCGGCGCGGUAAGUCGGGUGUGAAAUCUCGGAGCUUAACUCCGAAACUGCAUUCGAUACUGCCGUGCUUGAGGACUGGAGAGGAGACUGGAAUUUACGGUGUAGCGGCGAAAUGCGUAGAUAUCGUAAGGAAGACCAGUGGCGAAGGCGGGUCUCUGGACAGUUCCUGACGCUGAGGCACGAAGGUCAGGGGGAGCAAACAGG
This 254-nucleotide ribosomal RNA is filed under the name uncultured bacterium. Its description in RNAcentral is "partial 16S ribosomal RNA". It matches the Rfam family "Bacterial small subunit ribosomal RNA", at positions 524 to 776 of the family's 1533-position model. The record is from RNAcentral.